UUCAGAUAACAGUUCUUGCUCUUUGAAACACGUGGAAGGUAACUGCAAAAGAGCAUACAUUUCUCGGGAGAAAUCAGUGGGGGAAAAAAAGAUCAUACAGUCUACCCUCGCCACGUUCCAGCACACUGUUCCUGUGCAUCCCUGGCAGCUGACUAUUAUUCCUGAGAUGAGUAUCUGUGGUUUCCUUUCAAUUUUGAUUCCUUCCAUUUGAAAGUAUUAUAAGUGCUGCAAAAAGAAUUCUGCACUGCUUAAAUAAACUGAUAUUCACUGGGGUAUAUGAAACUGUUCUGCAAUAACAGCACAGACAAACUGAUUUGAAAGGUGGACUAACAGUUUGCAAAGGUAGUUUAUAUUCUUUAUGCUAAGUUCCAUCCUGCACAGAGACCCAGAUGCCCACAAACAAUAACUCUUUGGUUGAAAGCCAAAGCAAAAUUCCUUCACUCCUAUAAAUAAAAUUUACAAAUCCCCAACCUUGAAGGUUUAUGACUGUCAGGACUUUACCAGUUUUGUACUGAAAACCUAUCCUUAGCCAGGCAUGGUGGUGUGCACCUUUCGUACCAGCUACUCAGGGGCUGAGGCAGGAGGAUCACUUGAGCCCAGGGAUUCAAGACAGUCGUGAGCUAUGAUUAAACCUGUGAAUAGCCACUGCACUCCAUCCCGGGCACUCCCACGACCCCCGCCCCAACCCCCGGAAAGCCAUUCUUGAUUAGAACAUCCAUUUUGUGUAAAUUCUUGUCAUCAUUACUUUUUAUUACAGUAUUCUAACAGAGUGGUAAAGGUGACUAGGAAUAGGCACAAGCAAACAAACAUUCUAUUGUAAUCAUUUUAUAGUGGAAGAAAACCUAGCACGAGGGUAGAAUUCAAACAACUCCCACACACACUGCAUAGGUCCACCCCUUGCUUUUUUUGCCCUGCCCUAGCAGAGCUCAAAAUCUCUGCCAAUUUCCUGAAUGUUGCUGGUCUUUUCCAUAUCCGAUCAGUAUGAAUAUUUGUUGCACAAUCUGAAACUUUAAAUAUUUUCCACUGAAAACAUUUGAUAAACUAUAUUUAGAAGAGGAACGUUAUUAAGAGAAAUCAUUUGGCAAUAGACUUGGGGGCCUAUUUGAGGGCAGAGGUAGGAGGAGGGUGAGGAUUAAAAAACUACCUAUCAGGCAUUAUGCUGAUUACCUCGGUGACAAAAUUGUCUCUACACCAAAGCCCCUUAACACCGAGUUUAAUCAUGUAACAAAUCUGCACGUGUAUCCCUUGAACCUAAAAUAAAAGUUGGAAGGGGAAAAAAAAUUAAAUUAUUUUGGAAAAGAGGUGAAUUAUAAUGAACACUAAUUUUAUUAUAAGAUUAACUACAAAUUCUUGCAGUAAAAGUCUUUAGUCAUUUAUUUAAUUUUAGAACUCAGAAACAUUCCAUUAUAAAAACAUUUGCGUCAUUGUUACUGGAUCACAAUAAUUAAAGCAAAUGAUGAUUCAGUUUAGUGGUCUCAGGACACUAGCUCUCUAACAAACAAUGGGUAAAACCAUUUGAAAAAAUUGUAAGCACCACACCCAACUCCACCCAUGUCAACCAAAGACAAAUUAUCUAGAAGAUACAAGUAUCAGAAUUCAGUCUCUUCAAAAAGGAAAAA
Long non-coding RNA from Pongo pygmaeus (Bornean orangutan), 1619 nucleotides. RefSeq lists it as uncharacterized. The transcript has 2 exons. NCBI's taxonomy places the organism in Eukaryota, Metazoa, Chordata, Mammalia, Primates, Hominidae. The record is from RefSeq and is a predicted model, not a curated record.